UGUGGCUAAGUUGUUUAGGGCGCACGGUGGAUGCCUUGGCACAAGAAGCCGAUGAAGGACGUGUGAAUCUGCGAUAAGCCUCGGGGAGUCGAUAACAGGACGUUGAUUCGAGGAUUUCCGAAUGGGGGAACCCCGCCACUUGUCAAGGGUGGUGACCUGCACCUGAAUGUAUAGGGUGUGUGGAGGGAACGAGGGGAAGUGAAACAUCUCAGUACCCUCAGGAAGAGAAAAUAACUAAUGAUUCUGUGAGUAGUGGCGAGCGAAAGCGGAUGAGACUAAACCUGUGGUGUGUGAUACCGGUGAGGGGUUGCAUCAUGGGGGUUGUGGGAGUGAUGCGUGCCAGUUCUUACCGGCUGGUGGUGUGGUGUGUUGCGGUAGGCGAAGCGCCUGGGAUGGCGUGCCGUAGAGGGUGAGAGUCCUGUAGCUGAAACCGUGGUUGCUGCAUGGUGUUGUUUCCCGAGUAGCACGAGGCCCGUGAAAUCUCGUGUGAAUCUGCCAGGACCACCUGGUAAGUCUAAA
This 519-nucleotide ribosomal RNA is filed under the name Salmonella enterica subsp. enterica. Its description in RNAcentral is "partial 23S ribosomal RNA". It matches the Rfam family "Bacterial large subunit ribosomal RNA", at positions 1 to 470 of the family's 2925-position model. Lineage: Bacteria; Pseudomonadati; Pseudomonadota; Gammaproteobacteria; Enterobacterales; Enterobacteriaceae. The record is from RNAcentral.